GUUACUGACGCUUAAGCUCGAAGGUGCGGGUAUCGAACAGGAUUAGAUACCCUGGUAGUCCGCACAGUAAACGAUGGAUGUCCGCCGUUGGCGCCCUGCGCCUGCGGCCAAGCGAAAGCAUUAAGCAUCCCACCUGGGGAGUACGCCGGCAACGGUGAAACUCAAAGGAAUUGACGGGGGCCCGCACAAGCGGAGGAACAUGUGGUUUAAUUCGAUGAUACGCGAGGAACCUUACCCGGGCUUGAAUUGCAGUCGCUGCCCACAGAGACGUGGGCUUCCCUUCGGGGCGUCUGUGAAGGUGCUGCAUGGUUGUCGUCAGCUCGUGCCGUGAGGUGUCGGCUUAAGUGCCAUACCGAGCGCAACCCCCUUUCCCAGUUGCCAUCGGGUGAUGCCGGGCACUCUGGGGACACUGCCAGCGCAAGGUGCGAGGAAGGUGGGGAUGCCGUCAAAUCAGCACGGCCCUUACGUCCGGGGCUACACACGUGUUACAAUGGCCGGUACAGAGGGACGGUGCAAUGCAAGUUGCAUCCAAUCUUGAAAUACGGUCCCAGUUCGGACUGGGGUCUGCAACCCGACCCCACGAAGCUGGAUUCGCUAGUAAUCGCGCAUCAGCCAUGGCGCGGUGAAUACGUUCCCGGGCCUUGUACACUCCGCCCGUCAAGCCAUGAAAGCCGGGGGUGCCUGAAGUUC
Molecule: ribosomal RNA, 690 nt
Filed under: Prevotella nigrescens
Lineage: Bacteria; Pseudomonadati; Bacteroidota; Bacteroidia; Bacteroidales; Prevotellaceae
Description: bacterial SSU rRNA
Rfam family: Bacterial small subunit ribosomal RNA
Source: RNAcentral